RNAcentral lists this unclassified non-coding RNA (237 nucleotides) under Hevea brasiliensis (rubber tree). Lineage: Eukaryota; Viridiplantae; Streptophyta; Magnoliopsida; Malpighiales; Euphorbiaceae. The record is from RNAcentral.
GCUAUUUGUGUGGCAAGCUCGGGCUAGGGAACGAAUAACUGUUGAUGAAGCAUUCAAGUAUAUAAGGGAGGUCGCGAAGUGGGACGAGGAAAAAGAAGAGACCUACAACGUUGGAGCAGAAGAUUCAUUUUACAGUACAACCGAUAUUAGCUCGUCUCCUUUCUUCCGACAGGAGUGAAAUAACUUAAAGACAUGUUGAUAGUGUAGAUUAGGACACAGAGAGAGAGAGAGGGAGAG